UGUUCUGAUUGUUUACAUUAAAAUGUAAAACUUGAUGAUAAAGUAUGAUAAGUUGAAAAAAGUGACAUUUGAAGGUCAGAAAGUGACUUUUCAUCAAAAGUACCAUAACAAAACUUGUUUCCAUUCAUCCUAUGUGUCCAUGCACACUUGUGCUCUUUAUCCGCUCAAAACGCUAUACAGCGCUUCAGAAGGCGCUAGGAGCAAAGGAAAGUGGUUUUUCUAACAAACUCAUGUAAUCAAUUGCCCGACGUACUCCAAUUUGAUUUUUUUCACAUAGUUAGACAUAAUAUAGUACUAUGAAAUGUUUCUGACCUAAAAUAAUACGAAAUAUGAUUGUUUACAUUAAAAUGUAAAACUUGAUGAUAAAGUAUGAUAAGUUGAAAAAAGUGACAUUUGAAGGUCAGAAAGUCACUUUUCAUCAAAAGUACCAUAACAAAACUUGUUUCCAUUCAUCCUGUGUGUCCAUGCACACUUGUGCUCUUUAUCCGCUCAAAACGCUAUACAGCGCUUCAGAAGGCGCUAGGAGCAAAGGAAAGUGGUUUUUCUAACAAACUCGUAAUCAAUUGCCCGACGUACUCCAAUUUGAUUUUUUUUACAUAGGUAGACAUAAUAUAGUACUAUGAAAUGUUUCUGACCUAAAAUAAUACGAAAUAUGAUUGUUUACAUUAAAAUGUAAAACUUGAUGAUAACGUAUGAUAAGUUGAAAAAAGUGACAUUUGAAGGUCAGAAAGUCACUUUUCAUCAAAAGUACCAUAACAAAACUUGUUUCCAUUCAUCCUGUGUGUCCAUGCACACUUGUGCUCUUUAUCCGCUCAAAACGCUAUACAGCGCUUCAGAAGGCGCUAGGAGCAAAGGAAGUGGUUAAGUGGUUUUUCUAACAAACUCAUGUAAUCAAUUGCCCGACGUACUCCAAUUUGAUUUUUUUUUACAUAGUUAGACAUAAUAUAGUACUAUGAAAUGUUUCUGACCCUAAAAUAAUACGAAAUAUGAUUGUUUACAUUAAAAUGUAAAACUUGAUGAUAACGUAUGAUAAGUUGAAAAAAGUGACAUUUGAAGGUCAGAAAUUCACUUUUCAUCAAAAGUACCAUAACAAAACUUGUUUCCAUUCAUCCUAUGUGUCCAUGCACACUUGUGCUCUUUAUCCGCUCAAAACGCUAUACAGCGCUUCGAGAAGGCGCUAGGAGCAAAGGAAAGUGGUUUUUCUAACAAACUCAUGUAAUCAAUUGCCCGACGUACUCCAAUUUGAUUUUUUUCACAUAGUUAGACAUAAUAUACUACUAUGAAAUGUUUCUGACCUAAAAUAAUACGAAAUAUGAUUGUUUACAUUAAAAUGUAAAACUUGAUGAUAAAGUAUGAUAAGUUGAAAAAAGUGACAUUUGAAGGUCAGAAAUUCACUUUUCAUCAAAAGUACCAUAACAAAACUUGUUUCCAUUCAUCCUAUGUGUCCAUGCACACUUGUGCUCUUUAUCCGCUCAAAACGCUAUACAGCGAACGAGAAGGCGCUAGGAGCAAAGGAAAGUGGUUUUUCUAACAAACUCAUGUAAUCAAGUGCCCGACGUACUCCAAUUUGAUUUUUUUCACAUAGUUAGACAUAAUAUAGUACUAUGAAAUGUUUCUGACCUAAAAUAAUACGAAAUAUGAUUGUUUACAUUAAAAUGUAAAACUUGAUGAUAACGUAUGAUAAGUUGAAAAAAGUGACAUUUGAAGGUCAGAAAUUCACUUUUCAUCAAAAGUACCAUAACAAAACUUGUUUCCAUUCAUCCUAUGUGUCCAUGCACACUUGUGCUCUUUAUCCGCUCAAAACGCUAUACAGCGAACGAGAAGGCGCUAGGAGCAAAGGAAAGUGGUUUUUCUAACAAACUCAUGUAAUCAAGUGCCCGACGUACUCCAAUUUGAUUUUUUUCACAUAGUUAGACAUAAUAUAGUACUAUGAAAUGUUUCUGACCUAAAAUAAUACGAAAUAUGAUUGUUUACAUUAAAAUGUAAAACUUGAUGAUAAAGUAUGAUAAGUUGAAAAAAGUGACAUUUGAAGUGUAGAAAGUAACUUUUCAUCAAAAGUACCAUAACAAAACUUGUUCCCAUUCAUCCUGUGUGUCCAUACACACUGGUGCUCUUUAUACGUUGAAAACGCGAUACAGCACUUUAGAAGGCGCCAGGAGCAAAGGAAAGGGGUUUUUCUAACAAACUCAUAUAAAAAUUGCCCGACAUACUCCAAUAUGGUAUUUUUCACAUAGUUAGACAUAAUAUAGUACUAUGAAAUGUUUCUGACGUGAAAUAAUACGAAAUAUGAUUGUUUACAUUAAAAUGUCAAACUUGAUGAUAAUGUAUGAUAAGGUGAAAAAAGUGACAUUUGAAGUGUAGAAAGUCACUUUUCAUCAAAUGUGCCUUAAUAAAA
Long non-coding RNA from Ictalurus punctatus (channel catfish), 2395 nucleotides. The record is from Ensembl. NCBI's taxonomy places the organism in Eukaryota, Metazoa, Chordata, Actinopteri, Siluriformes, Ictaluridae.